RNAcentral lists this ribosomal RNA (776 nucleotides) under uncultured Neocallimastigales. RNAcentral describes it as "partial large subunit ribosomal RNA". It matches the Rfam family "Eukaryotic large subunit ribosomal RNA", at positions 23 to 616 of the family's 3401-position model. The record is from RNAcentral. Lineage: Eukaryota; Fungi; Neocallimastigomycota; Neocallimastigomycetes; Neocallimastigales.
ACACGCAUGACACACUGCAUAUCAAUAAGCGGAGGAAAAGAAACUAACUAGGAUUCCCUUAGUAACAGGCGAGUGAAGCGGGAAGAGCUCAAAUUUGAAAUCUUCAAGGUUUUACCUUGACGAAUUGUAGUUUAAAGAAGUGUUUUCUGUUGGAGUUUUGGUAAAAGUUCUUUGGAAUAGGGACAUCAUAGAGGGUGAGAAUCCCGUAUUUGACCAUUAUUUUCAACUGUGUGAUACACUUUCAAAGAGUCGGAUUGUUUGGGAAUGCAGUCCAAAAUGGGUGGUAAAUUUCAUCUAAAGCUAAAUAUUGGCGAGAGACCGAUAGCGAACAAGUACCGUGAGGGAAAGAUGAAAAGAACUUUGAAAAGAGAGUUAAGCAGUACGUGAAAUUGUCAAAAGGGAAGCGUUUGACACCAGUGUUGUUUUCUCGAAAAUCAAUUAAAAGAGGCCGGAUUUUGUGUUGUAUUGACCUUAAAAGCUUUCUUCACUCUUUUCUUGUCUUUUUUAAUGCACUUUUCGUUUAGCAAGUCAACAUCAGUUUCUUUUGUUGUAAAAGGGUCAUUGGAAGGUGGCUUUCUUUUCGGAGAAAGUGUUUAUAGCCUUUGAUCUCUGCAACCGGAGAGACUGAGGUCUGCAGCGUAGACUCUUCGGGGUUAGAUACAUCUGUGCUAAGCUAUAGCUUUUUAUAGACAACUUGUUGACUAUAUUUAGUCUUGUGGCUUACUCGCUUAUGCUAUUUUACCUACGCUUAGGAUGUUGAGCGCAUGUCUCUCUCU